This 252-nucleotide ribosomal RNA is filed under the name uncultured Prevotella sp. RNAcentral describes it as "partial 16S ribosomal RNA". It matches the Rfam family "Bacterial small subunit ribosomal RNA", at positions 524 to 776 of the family's 1533-position model. Lineage: Bacteria; Pseudomonadati; Bacteroidota; Bacteroidia; Bacteroidales; Prevotellaceae. The record is from RNAcentral.
UACGGAGGAUGCGAGCGUUAUCCGGAUUUAUUGGGUUUAAAGGGUGCGUAGGCGGGCUGUUAAGUCAGCGGUAAAAUUUGGAGGCUCAACCUCCACGAGCCGUUGAAACUGGCGGUCUUGAGUGCACACAGGGAUGCCGGAAUUCAUGGUGUAGCGGUGAAAUGCUUAGAUAUCAUGAAGAACUCCGAUCGCGAAGGCAAGUGUCCGGGGUGCAACUGACGCUGAGGCUCGAAAGUGCGGGUAUCAAACAGG